UUUACAUUGAGAACAGUAAGCUUUCGGGACCCUUACCUGUGAAUAUUGGUAAGUUAAAACAACUUGGGGCCUUGAGUCUUGAAGGGAAUCGGUUCACUGGAUCCAUACCGAGUUCUAUCUCCGAGUUGACUCAGUUAACUCAGUUGGUUCUUGGGAAAAAUGAAUUCUCUGGUCAUUUCCCGGCGGGGAUUAAACAGAUUAGGAACCUUAGUUACCUGAGUUUAGAACAAAACAAGCUGAUGGGUACCAUUCCGGAUAUUUUCAAAUCGUUCACCGACCUUAGAAUUCUUAGACUUUCCCAUAAUGAAUUUUCGGGGAAAAUCCCAGAAUCAAUAUUGUCUUUGGCACCGAAAUUGGCGUACCUUGAGUUGGGCCAUAA
Molecule: long non-coding RNA, 379 nt
Filed under: Gossypium barbadense (sea-island cotton)
Lineage: Eukaryota; Viridiplantae; Streptophyta; Magnoliopsida; Malvales; Malvaceae
Description: long non-coding RNA (GBAR_LNC007802)
Source: RNAcentral